Molecule: long non-coding RNA, 611 nt
Filed under: Homo sapiens (human)
Lineage: Eukaryota; Metazoa; Chordata; Mammalia; Primates; Hominidae
Description: HSALNT0367226
Source: RNAcentral
CUUUCCAAACUUCACAAGCAGGGGAGGGAGCUGUAGCAGACUUUCACCUCCGUUCCCAAAAGCGAAUGUGAAAAAGUCCGAGAAGGCACGUCCUGCGAGUGGAGGUUAAACCGAAAUCUGAACAGAAUGCACGGUCCCCGCAAACUACGAUUGAUAAAGAAGAUACUGAGACGUUUGCGGGGGAUAUAAGCCAUGGUUGUCUCGCCUUCCUCCCCUCCCUGCCAACUAUGUUUCUUGGAGAAAUCGCCGGUUCGAUUCACGCACACAUUUUUGUAAAACACGGACAAAACCAUAAGUAGUUACCUUCAUUGUUCCGUCGGCCACGAGGGAAGCUCGAGCUGAGCGGAGGGCAGAUCCCAAGGGUCGUAGCCCCUGGCCGUGUGGACCGGGUCUGCGGCUGCAGAGCGCGGUCCCGGCUGCAGCAAGACCUGGGGCAGUGCCCGAGGCGGCGGCGAGUACACGUGGCGGGCUGGAUUGCAGACCGGCCCUCUCGCGGCGGAGACUCGCGACCUAGCGGAUUGCAUCAGCAGGAAGACACUAAGGCUGCUCCCCCAGGCCGCCCCCAGAUGGUGGAGUCUCUCCCAGCCCGAAGAUUCGGAGCCAGCGCCCAG